This is a non-coding RNA of Clarias gariepinus (North African catfish), 326 nucleotides long. RefSeq annotates it as small Cajal body-specific RNA 6. The record is from RefSeq and is a predicted model, not a curated record. The transcript has a single exon. NCBI's taxonomy places the organism in Eukaryota, Metazoa, Chordata, Actinopteri, Siluriformes, Clariidae.
GGUCAGUGAUGAGUUGUAAAAGGUCUGAAGCUAAGAGCUCCGCCUCCCUCCAGCUCCCCUGGUCCUCCCAGCCCACAUGCCGAGUUUCCCGGCAUGCUCUAGGUGUGCAUCUGGGAGCAGCACCGUGGCUGACACUGAGAGGCGUUCUGCUCAGUGUGUGUGUGCGAGAGAGACAACAUGUCACACAGAGUAGAAACGUCUGACAGAAACAUUUUCACUUUGUUAUACACACUAGAACUUACACACUCACAUGUACAAAACACUCAGGAGGGCGGAGCUUCAGGGGGUGCGAGCAGCUCAUGAUCUCCAGUUUUCAAUCUGAGACC